Phascolarctos cinereus (koala) is the source of this 9415-nucleotide non-coding RNA. NCBI's taxonomy places the organism in Eukaryota, Metazoa, Chordata, Mammalia, Diprotodontia, Phascolarctidae. The record is from RefSeq and is a predicted model, not a curated record.
AGAAGCAGAAUGUGAUGUGGGAGGCAAGGCAAGGCUGCUUAGAUUCUGAGCAGAUAUCUGCCCCAGAAUGAAUUCCAACAUCGUGGAGGCAAAGCCAAGAGCCAAAGAAAAGAUGAAGAACUUUCUAAAUCCUUGCCGUAAAGGAAAGCUAAAAAUGACUGCAGCUCCUUAUAUAUGUCAAGAUUUUGUGCCAGGUUUGCUUAAAGGGAAGCCAAAGAUAAUAGGGGUUCUCCAGAUCCUGAUAGGUCUAAUCAUCACUUCGUUUGGAGCCUUAUUAUUUUCCAACACCAACAAAGUUGGCCUUCCAAAGUCAAGUAUUCCUCAUUUCUUUAUCACGAAGUAUCCAUUCUGGACAGGAGCAUGUUACACCAUUACAGGAGUCUUUACCAUUCUUAAUGGUGUGAAAUGUGAAAGUCAGGACCACGUGAGCCUUUACAUGGACAUUCUGAGUGCCAUGGUCUCUGCAUCUGGGAUCGGCAUCCUCUUCUACAGCUUAUCUGUCCACCGGCUUCUUCAAUGUGUUCGCCCUUCAGCAAACAGCAUGUGUAUCAUGAGUGAAAUCCUUCUUCGUGGUAUUCUCUCUGUCUUGCUGAUCCUCACCAUCAUCCAAUUCUCCAUCGCUGCAGUAGUCUUAGCCUUGAAGCGUAAAAGAACAGGGAAAAGCCCUACAGAUGAGGCUUGUUCAACAUCACUGAGAGAGCCAAGACAGGUUGUGACAUCUUGGAAGAAUGCGUAUUUCCAGUCUUCGGAAGUCAAGGAGCCCAAUCAAAAGGAGAAUAUGGAAAACCACUUGCGGAUCCAAACUGAGAAAAAUCCUUCUGACAAAAAUGAGGAAAACAAAUCAGUCUCCUUAAUGACAGGCUACACUUUCUUUAAACUAAGAUCUUUAGGAAGUCCUGUAACCCACCCACCUCCUUCCUCUUCCCCUCCUCCCUCUCCCCCUCCUCCCCCCCCUCUCCCUCCUCAUUCACCUCCUCCUCCACUGCCUUCCCCAAAAGUACCAGAAGAAAUGAUUCCAUUUUCUCUUUCAAUACAAAAUCCACAGUGCAAUACUCCAACUUCCUCAAGUGAAUCCAUGGAAGUUUCAUAUUUCUCUGUCCCAAGGUCAUCAAGUACAUUGCCACAAGGAUCAUCUUCCUUAGAACCAUUUUUAGUAGACAAAUCUGUACAAGUUUCCUCAUAUUCAGAUCUAAGUUCAGGGGGAGAAGUGACAGAAUUUCCUUCAUCUUCCAGCACGAGUUCAUUUAGAGAAUCCACAAAAUGUAUGUCUACCUCCAGCUCAGAAGAUCCCAUUGCUUCCAAAAUAGCAGCAAUGAGCAUAUCUGUGCAAUUUCCUUCUAUCUCAGGCAUAGCCACACCAACAGACGGCACAGAAAAUCAAUCCACAGAAGAUGCCAUACCUUCAGACCUCUUUGCACCAACCAAAUCUAUACAAUUUCCCUCUGUCUCAUACUCAGCUACAUCAACAGAAGCAACAGAAAGUCAAUCCAUGGAAGAUGCCACACUUUCAGACCUCCUUGCACUGACCAAAUCUGUGCAAUUUCCUUCUGUCUCAUGCACGACUGCACCAACAGUCAUAGAUGCCACACCUUCAGACCUCUUAGUAUUGACCAAAUCUGUGCAAUUUCCUUCUGUCUCAUGCACGACUACAUCAACAGAAGUCACAGGAAAUCCUCCUCCAUCCAAUUUCAAUUCUGUGACUCAAUCAAUGGAAGAUGCCACACCUUUUGGCUUACUUGACCUGACAACAUCUGUGCAAUCCCCAUGUUCCUCUGACCUGAUUACACCAGUGGAAGUUACACAAAAUCCUCCACCAUUCAAUUUCAAUUCACUGACUCAACCUAUGGAAGAUGCCACAUCUUUUGACUUACUUGACCUGACUACAUCUGUGCAAUCUCCAUCUUCCUCUGUCCCAGCUACAUCAAGAGAAAUCACAGAAAAUCCUCCUCCAUCCAAUUUAAGUUCAUUGACUCAUUACACUGAAAUUGCUUUAGUCACAUUCGACCAGAGCCUAUCUGUGAAACCCCCACAUUCCUCUAACCUGACUACACCAGUGAAAGUUACACAAAAUCCUCCACCAUCCAAUCUCAGUUCAGUGACUCAACAUAUGGAAUAUGCCACACCUUUUAGCUUACUUAACCAGACCGCAUCUGUGCAAUCUCCAUCUUCCUCUGUCCCAGCUACACAAAGGAAAAUCACAAAAAAAUCUCCUUUAUCCAAUUUAAGCUCACUGACUCCUUCGACUGAAGCUGCUUUACUCUUACUUGAGGAGAUGCUAUUUGGGCAAUCCCCACAUUCCUCUGACUUGACUACACCAGGGGAAGUUACAGAAAAUCGUCCUCCAUCCAACUUCAAUUUAGUGACUGAACCUAUGGAACGUGCCACAUCUUUUGACUUACUUAACCUGACCACAUCUGUGCAAUCUCCAUCUUCCUCUGUUCCAACUACACCAAGGGAAAUCACAGAAAAUCCUCCUCUAUCCAAUUUAAGUUCAUUGACUCAAUCUAUGGAAGAUGCCACAUCUUUAGGCCCACUUUUUCUAACCAAAUCUGGGCAAUUUUCUUCAAUCUCAAGCAUGGCUACCUCAACAGAAGUACCAGGAACUCCUCCUCCAUCCACUCUAAGUUUCACGACUCAAUCUAUGGAGGAUGCCAUACCUUUGAGCCCACUUUUGCUGACCAAAUCUGUGCAAUUUCCUUCUAUCUCAGGUCCAGCUAUCUCAACAGAAGUCUCAGGAAAUCCUCCUCCAUCUAAUUUAAGUUCAAUGAUCCAAUCUAUGGAAGAAGCAAUGCCUUCAGGCCCACUUGCCCUGACCAAAUCUCUGCAAUUUCCCUCUUUCUCAGGCCCCAAUGCACCAAUAGCUGUCACUGAACUUCCUUCUUUCUCUGCACUAAGCUCAUCAAGGGAAUCCACAAAGGUUCCUUAUGUUGACAGAUUUUUUUCAAAUAAAGCUAUUCAAAUUCCCUCUAAAUGUGAAAUAAUUUUAGUGAAUGACUCUGGAGAAGUCCUGUCUGCCUUCAGUCCAAGUCAAUCAGGAGAAUUUAUACAAGAUUCAACUGCAUCUAGAACAAUUACAGGAAGCAAAUCAGUGCAAGUUCCUUCUUCUGCUGGUAUAAUUUCUUCAAGUAAAUCUAUGACAUUUUCGUCGUUCUCCAAUGGAAUUCCAAUGACAAAAUCCACACAAGUUCCUUCAUUUUUUGACUCAACAUCAAGUGAACGUGAAGAAGUUCAAUCUUUCUCAGUUCCACCUUCAUCAGACAAAUCCAUACAAGUUCCUGAUUUCUCUGAUACAAGAUCAUCAGAAGAAAACAUACACUUUCUUUCAACCUACCAUGCUAUUGCCACAAACAAACUGAUACAAGUUCCUUCCUUCUCUGAUGUGAAUUCACCUACUGAAUGCAAAGAAGUUAUAUCUUUUCCGGGUCCAUUUUCAUCAAGAGAAUCUACACAAUGUCCCUCAGAUUUUGUUGCUAUUUCAGGCAUCAAGUCUAUUAAGUUUACUUCAUUUUCUGAUCUAAGUUCAUCAGAUACAGGCAAACAAGCACUACCACCUUUCCAAGUCCCAGUUUCAUCAAAAGAAUCUAGAAAUGUUUCUUUCUCUGAAACUAAUUCACCAACAGAAGCUGCAAAAGUUCCCCUACUUGUGAUGCCCUUAUAGUUGCCAAGUCCACACAAAUUCCUUUUAUUUCUGACUUACGUUCAUCAACAACAGGAACAGAAAAAGUUAUGUCUUUCACAGGUCCACUCGUAUCAAAGAAAUCAUUAGAACUUAACUCAACUUUUGCUGCUAUUUCACUCAGCAAGCAGACACAAAUUCCUUCCAUCUCUGACCCAAGUUCAUUCAAUGUGAAGAUGGAAAACCUUCCAUCUUUCUUGCUUACAAUUUGCCCAAUAGAAUCCAGGCAGUUUUCUGAUUUCUCUGACUCAUGUUUACUAAGAGGAGAUAUACAAAUGCCUUCCAUCCAUAGCCCUAUUUCAGUGAGCAAAUGCAUACAACUUUCUCACUCCUCUGAUAAUAGUUUGCCAACAGAAACUUUACAAGUUCCCUCUACCCACCUUGCUAUCAGAGUGAGCAGAUCAACACAACCGACUUCCUUCUUUGAUGUGUGUUCAUCAAAUGUAUGCAGAGAAAAAGUUCUUUCAUCCCCAGGGCCACUGAAAUCAAGGGAAUCCAUCCAACAUCCCUCAAAUCUUGGUGUUAUUUCAAUCAACAAAUUUACCCAACUUUCUUCUCCCUCUGCCCCAAGUUCAUUGAAAAUGAAGACAAAAGAAUCUUUCUUGCUUCCACUUUGUCCAAUACAAUCCAAGCAGUUUUCUGAUUUCUCUGAUACAAGUUUACCAAGAGAAAACAUCCAAAUUCCCUCUAUCCUUGGACCUAUUUCAGUGAUCAAAUGCAUACAAUUUUUUCACUCCUCUGACAAAAGUCUGCCAGUAGAAACUUUACAAGUUCCCACCACCCACCUUGCUAUCACAGAGAGCAAACCACCACAACCUGUUUCCUUGCUUGAUGCAAAUUCAUCAGCUGUAGGCAUAGAACAAGCUAUGACUUUGCCAGGUCCACUGAAAUCAAGAGAAUCCGUCCAACAAGCCUCAAACCUUGGUCUUAUUUCAGCCAACAAGUCUGCCCCGUUUCUUUCUUCCUCUGUCCCAAGUUCACUGAACGUAAAUACAGAAGUUCCAUCUUUCUUGCUUCCAUUUCGUCCAACAGAAUCCAGGCAGUUUACUGAUUUCUCUGACGCAAGUCUACCAAAGGAAGACACACAAAGCUCUUCUAUCCUUGGACUUAUUUCAGUGAGCAAAUGCACACAAUCGUCUCACUCCUCUGACAAAAGUUUACCAAGAGAAACUUUACAAGAUCCCCCCACCGACCUGGCUGUCACAGAGAGCAAAUCAACACAAUCCACUUCCUUGUUUGAUGCAAGUUCAUCAGCUGUAGGCAUAGAACAAGCAAUGUCUUUGCCAGGUCCACUGAAAUCAAGGGAAUCCACUGAAUAUCCCUCAAACGUUGGUGUGACUUCAGUCAACAAGUCCACCCAAUUUCCUAUUCCCUCUGUUCCAAGUUCACUGAAUGUGAACAAAGAAGAAGCCCCGCCUUUCUUGCCUCCAUUGUGUCCAACAGAAUCCAGGCAGUUUUCUGAUUCAUCUGACACAAGUCUACCAAGAGAAGAUACACAAAAUCCUUCUAUCCUUGAACCUAUUUCAGUGAGCAAAGACGCACAAUCGUCUCACUCCUCUGACAAAGUUUUGCCAACAGAAACUUCACAAGUUCCUCUAUCCACCUCAAUGUCACAGAGAGCAAAUCAACACAAUCCAUUUAUUUCUUUGAUGCAAGUUUAUCAGCUGUAGACACAGAAGUCAUUUCUUUUCUGGAUCCACUGAAAUCAAAGGAAUCCAUUCAACAUCUCUCCAGCCUUGGUCGUAUUUCAGUCAACAAGUCCACCCAAUUUCCUCUUCCCUCUGUUCCAAGUUCACUGAAUGUGAAAACAGAAGAAGUUCCACCUUUCUUGCUUCCAUUUUGUCCAACAGAAUCCAGGCAGUUUUCUGAUUUCUCUGACACAAGUCUACCAGAUGAAGACACACAAAGUCCUUCUAUCCUUGGACCUAUUUCAGUGAGCAAAUUCACACAAUCAUCUCACUCCUCUGAUAAAAGUAUACCAAGAGAAGCUUCACAAGUUCCCUCUACCCACCUGACUGUCACAGAGAGCGAACCAAUACAGCCUAUUUCCUUGUUUGAUGUAAGUUCAUCCACCAUAGACAUAGAAGAAAUUAUGUCUUUCCGGAGUCCACUGAAAUCAAGGGAAUCCAUCCAAUAUCCCUCCAACCUUGGUCUUAUUUCAGUCAAGUCACCACAGUUUCCUCCUUCUUCUGUUCCACGUUCAUUGACUUUGAAAACAGAAGAAGUUCCACCUUUAUUGCUUCCAGUUUCUCCAACAGAAUCCAGGGAAUCUUCUGAUUUGCCUGACACAGGUCUACCAAAAGAAGACACACAAAGUCCUUCUAUCCUUGGACCUAUUUCAGUGAGCAAAUUCACACAAUUAUCUCACUCCUCUGAUAAAAGUGUACCAAGAGAAGCUUCACAAGUUCCCUCUACCCACCUGACUGUCACAGAGAGCGAACCAAUACAGCCUAUUUCCUUGUUUGAUAUAAGCUCAUCCACUGUAGGCAUAGAAGAAAUUAUGUCUUUCCGAAGUCCAUUGAAAUCAGGGGAAUCCAUCCAAUAUCCCUCCAACCUUGGUCUUAUUUUAGUCAACAAGUCCAUCCAAUUUCCUUCUUCCUCUGCUCCAAGUUCAUUGACCAUGAAAACAGAAGAAGUUCCAUAUUUCUUGCCUCCAUUUUGUCCAAAAGAAUCCAGGCAGUUUUCUGAUUUACUUGACACAAGUCUACCAAAAGAAGACACACAAAGUCCUUCUAUCCUUGGACCUGUGUCAGUGAGCAAAUGCACACAAGCGUCUCACUCCUCUGAUGAAAGUUUGCCAACAGAAACUUUACAAGUUCCCUCCACCCACAUGGCUGUCACAGAGAGCAAAUCAACACAACCGACUUCCUUGUCUGAUGCAAGUCCACCAGAUGUAGGCAUAGAAGAAGUUCAGUCUUUCCCAGGUCCACUGAAAUCAAGGGAAUCCAUCAAACAUCCCUCCAACCUUGGUCUUAUUUCAGUCAACAAGUCCACCCAAUUUCCUUCUUCCUCUGUCCUAAAUUUAUUGAAUGUGAACGCAGAAGAAUUUCCAUCUGUCUUGCUUCCAUUUUGUCCAACAGAAUCCAGGCAGUUUUCUGAUUUGCCUGACACAGGUCUACCAAAAGAAGACACACGAAGCCCUUCUAUCCUUGGACCUGUGCCGAUUACCCAGAGGAGUUCUACAAGUCUCUCUACUUACUCUGCUAUUUCUGUGAGCAAGCCCAUACGAGAACUUCACCUUUUGCCUGAAUGAAGUUCAAGUUCAUGCAAAAUAGAAUUUCCUUCUUUCCCAACUUCAGGUUCAUCAAGGGAAUCUAUACAAAUUCCUGAUGCUUCCAUUACAAGUUUUGCUAAGAAAACUGGUUGACGAUCCCUCUACUUCUAGCACUGUUCCAGCAGGCAAAUCUGUGCAGGUCACUACUUUUGCCGAACCGUAUACAUUCAGCAGAUCUAUCCACACUCCCCCUUUUUCUGGCCUAAGUUACGUGACAAAAUGGACACAAGUUCUUUCUUUCUCUGACCUAUGUUCAUCAAGCAAACGUGCAGAAGUUCUGCCUUUCUCAGGUCCAGUUUCCUCAAGGGAAUUCAAUUAACUUCCUGAUUUCAGCGAAGAAAGUUCACGAAGGGAACUCAUACAAAUUCUUUCUCCUUCUCCUCCUAGAUUACAUACAUCCAACAGAUUUCAACAAACUCCAUCUUCCUCUGGCCUUUCAGUGAACAGAUCUACAAGUUUCUUCUUUCUCUGACCCAAGUUCAACAAGCAAAUGCAAAGAAUGUCUGUCCAUUUCAAGCACUUUCAUCAAAAGAAUCCAUACAUCCAAAGGUUCCAGAACUCUCUGACCCAAGUUCACCAACAGAAUCUUUAAAAUUACCCUCCACCUCUGGCACUGUUUUACAAGGUAAAUCUCUGCAAGUUCCUUAUUCUUCUGAUCUGCAUGUCAAGAGGGCCUGUCCAAUUUCCCUCUUUCUCUAACCUAAUAUCAGCUAGCCAAUCUAUACAAGUCUCUUCCUUCUUUGCCUCAAGUUCAUCAAGUAAGCAUAUAUAAUUUUCAUCUUCCUUAGGCCAGGUUCAAGAGAAUCCUUAUGAAUUCCUUCUAUCCCCAGCUCAAGUUCACCAAGAGAAACCACACUAACUCUCUCCAACUUUAAUCUCAAUUUCAGAGAGCAAAUGCAUACAAAAUGUUUUUUCCUUCUCUUACUCAAGUACACCAAGUGAAUCUAUAGCAUUUCUAUCUUCCUUAGGACCAGGCUGAAGAGAAUCUCCACAAAUUCUUCUUAUCUCCAGCUUAAUUUCAACAAGAGAACUUGCACUGAUUCCCUAUGAUUCCAAACAAAUUUCAGACAACAAAUCUGUGCAAGUUCCUUAUUCCUAUAAUCUAUGUACAUUAAUUUCCCUCUUUCUCUGCACUAUUUUUGUGAGCAGAUCCAUACAAGUAUCUCCCUUUUCUGACCCAAUUUUAUCCAAGCGAACAUAAAAAGUCCAUCUUCCUUAGGGCCAGUAUCAAGAAAAUCCAUAAAAAUUCCUUCCAUCUCCAGUUCAAGUCCACCAAGAAAAUCCUGGCCAGAUUCCUCUGACUGCAAUACAAUUUCAGACAGCAAAUCUACAAAAGAUUUUUUUAUUUUCUCAUCCAAGAUCAUCAACAAAUCACACAGAAUGUCCAUCUUCCUUAAAGCCAGUAUCGAGAGAGUCCAUGCAAAGUCCUGCCUGCAGCUCAAGUUCACAGAGAAUCUAUGCCAAUUCCUUCAAAAGUUAACAUUAUGAAGGGGACAAAUCUGCUCCAGUUCCGUCUUCUGCUACUCUAAGUUCAAAAAGCAAAUCCAUCCAAAUUUCAUCUUCUGCUGGCUUCAUUUCAACAAAAAGCCAUAUGCAAACUUCUUUGUCUGGCCAAAGUCCAUCCAGUUAUUCUGUGAUAGCUAGCAGCCACUCAGGAAAAAAAGACUCCUUCUAAGUUUCUUCUUCCCCAGUCUCAAGUUUACCAAGAAAAUCCAUAUAAGCAUCUGCUUUCUCCAGAUCAAGUUCAACAAAAGAAUCCACAGAAUUUCCAUCUUUCCCCAGGCCAUUUUCAGGGAGCACAUUCCUGCCAAUUCCUUCUUUCUCUAGCCCCAGUCUACCUUGUAGAUCCAGGGAAGUUCUAUUCCACAAGCCUGUAUGAAAGAAAAGAAUCCACCGAUUUUCUCCAGGCCAAGUCCAACAACAAUAACAACAACAACAACAAAAAUCUCUUCAAGCCCUGACCCUCUCCUGUCCAAACUCAAAGAAUGCAUUCUAGUUGUCCAUUUUUCCAAACCCAGCUGAAUGAAGGAAACCAUUCCCCAGGAAAGGACUGCCCUCACAUUUCUCCCUCAUGUAAUCCUUUCUUCCAGGCCACUUCCAAAAGAUAUACCCUAAUCCUCCCAACUAGAAAUGCUUCCCCCCUCCUCCUCAAAUCUCUAACAUUCUUUUGGGACAUCAUCUACAAAUCUGCCAUAUCCUCUUUGAUUUACAGUUACUUGUAAGGAUAAUAAAUAUUAAGUUGAAUUGACCAUCAAAGCAAGGUAACAAACAGUAACAUAGCUGGAGAUAUUGACUCAUAAUGAAGGCCUGAGAUUUUUUUUCACCCAGCAAGUCACUCAGCAAGACUGCAAGUUGGUGGCAGUGGGGGAAAGGAAGAGAAGUGCAGUCUUCCUACACCAUGAAUCAGAUACAUGUGGUACAAAAUCAGUUAUCACUGAUGGCUUAUAGCUCAAUAAAAACUGAGG